Molecule: ribosomal RNA, 775 nt
Filed under: uncultured Neocallimastigales
Lineage: Eukaryota; Fungi; Neocallimastigomycota; Neocallimastigomycetes; Neocallimastigales
Description: partial large subunit ribosomal RNA
Rfam family: Eukaryotic large subunit ribosomal RNA
Source: RNAcentral
UACGACUACAUAUCAGGCAUAUCAAUAAGCGGAGGAAAAGAAACUAACAAGGAUUCCCUUAGUAACGGCGAGUGAAGCGGGAAGAGCUCAAAUUUGAAAUCUUCAAGGUUCUACCUUGACGAAUUGUAGUUUAAAGAAGUGUUUUCUGUUAGAUGAGUAGCAAAAGUUCCUUGGAAUGGGACAUCAUAGAGGGUGAGAAUCCCGUAUUUGGUUAUUCAUUCUAGCUUUGUGAUACACUUUCAAAGAGUCGGAUUGUUUGGGAAUGCAGUCCAAAAUGGGUGGUAAAUUUCAUCUAAAGCUAAAUAUUGGCGAGAGACCGAUAGCGAACAAGUACCGUGAGGGAAAGAUGAAAAGAACUUUGAAAAGAGAGUUAAACAGUACGUGAAAUUGUCAAAAGGGAAGCGUUUGACACCAGUGUUGUUUUUCCGAAAAUCAAUUACGAAUGGCUUGAUCUUGUGUUGUAUUGACCUUAUCAGCUUUCUGCACUUUUUUCGAGUCUUUCUUAAUGCACUUUUCGGUUAACAAGUCAACAUCAAUUUCUUUUGUUGUAAAAGAGUAUUCGGAAGGUGGCUUUCUUUUCAGAGAAAGUGUUUAUAGCCCUAUACUUCUACAAUCGGAGAGAUUGAGGUCUGCAGCGUAGAUCCUUCGGGGUUAGAUACAUUUGUGCUAAGUUGUAGCUUUUCAUAGACAACUUGUUGACUAUGUUUAGGUCAUGCGGCUUACUCGCUUGUGCUAUUUUACCUACGCUUAGGAUGUUGAGUAGCGACAUACGCAC